GCCCACGUAGCUCAGGCGGCAGAGCACUUCCUUGGUAAGGAAGAGGUCACCGGUUCGAAUCCGGUCGUGGGCUCCG
This 76-nucleotide transfer RNA is filed under the name Candidatus Rokubacteria bacterium 13_1_40CM_2_68_13. Its description in RNAcentral is "tRNA-Thr". It matches the Rfam family "tRNA". From Rfam's summary of the family: Transfer RNA (tRNA) molecules are approximately 80 nucleotides in length. The record is from RNAcentral. RNAcentral also lists the same sequence under 1 other name. Lineage: Bacteria; Candidatus Rokuibacteriota.